CUUGAAAGUUGUGGUUGGUAUUGAGGAACCUGCCAGGGUGGGAGUCCUUGAAUGCCAUGCCAGGUUGACCAGGAGAACCGGGUUCACCACAAGCACCUUUGGGUGAAUCCCUGCUAUCCAUAAUUAAAACAGUGCUGAAGUUACCAUCUCUACAAAAGUUAAAUCCUUUGAUCAAAUUCUCUACCUCUGCCUCUAAAACUUUUCUGAUUCAAUCUAUCACCUCCAAACUUUCUUUGUCUCGCCUGCUUAAGAUCACAAUCCUUUUGUGACCGAUACAACAUACU
Molecule: non-coding RNA, 284 nt
Organism: Pelobates cultripes (western spadefoot toad)
Lineage: Eukaryota; Metazoa; Chordata; Amphibia; Anura; Pelobatidae
Source: the annotation of a GenBank genome assembly